Molecule: long non-coding RNA, 2387 nt
Filed under: Homo sapiens (human)
Lineage: Eukaryota; Metazoa; Chordata; Mammalia; Primates; Hominidae
Description: HSALNT0249030
Source: RNAcentral
CAGGUUUUAUCUACUACAAAGGAUAUCACUUGGGAAGGAAUUUCUUGAAACUGCUCCCAAGAGAGCCAUUGGACCAUGUGGUAAACAACUCCUAGCUGAUGGAUUAUUGGGAAUAUUAACAUCAUCCAGAAUGCUAUGGGGAGAAGACAACUGGAAGCUCCGUGUGGACAAACCUCCUGGACUCUGCCCCACAUAUCUCUUCCCUUGGCUGAUUUGAAUUUGUAUCCUUUCACUGUGAUAAACCACAACCAGAUUAUUACAGCUGUCAGCAAGUUCUUCUAUUGAAUUGUUGAAACUGAGGGUGGUCUUGGGAACCCCUGAACUCUACUGUUGGUGUCAGGAGUGAGGGAAGUCUUGUGGACUGUACUCCCUGACCUCACAGGUGCAUUUUCCAACUUUAUUUGGACAUUCCCCAACAACAUCAUCCCCUUCUUCAAAUAUGUUUCUGCUACAAACAUUGUCCUUUAGAUGGUUCCUUUGCUGCCAUUAUGACUAUGGCGUAAUCUGUAGUAAAGCACCAUUAAGAUGUUAAUACAGAUGUAUGUGUGAAUUAAAAAGUGAUGCUAAAUGCAUAGUAACCAAUUUACUUCGCAUUAAUAAUUUAGCUAUUUUUAUUUGUUUCUAAACAAAAAGCAAAGAGGAUCCAGUCCAGAGAGCAGUUGCAACAGUGUGCACAAUUUUUAUUAAACCGAAAUAAAAGUUCUUGGGCUAUGGAAGUCACCUAAAUUCACUUCUCUUUUCCUAUGAACUUUCACUUUUUUUCCUUCCAACUCUAGUUAGAAGCUGACAGCUGACACGCCCUUCCUUUGUGCAUUUUAUCCUGGGACAAAAUGAGAAGACAUCCUUCAGUUCCCAUCUUGGAUGGCAUAACUUCAAAACCAAGGGAGAUGGAGGAGUUUUAGAGGAGUAGAAGGCUGCAAGCAAGAACUGAUGCAUUACAUCUCCAGUCACCUCACUCUAAGAUUGUCCUGUAGCUAAGACUGUUGAAUGAGACUGUUGUUCUUCAGUUUGCAGCCACAAAGCACGGAGGCAUCUCCCCAAGAAUCCACUGCAGGGAGGAUGAACAGCCCUUACCUGGAUUUUUGCUUUAUCUAAAAAUAUAUUUGUAGAAGAAGGAGCAUUCUAGUUUCCAAAUACAAAGGGCAAUCUCCUUCUCUGUGUGUGCACGUGCAAACAAACACACUUCUACAAGUAAGCAUUCUUCUUUAUUAUCAUAGUCAUCAUCAUCACUGGGUUGGCAACUAAAAACAAAACUACAAAACUCUCAUGUUAGCAGUUGAGUAACUUUUAAUAACCAGAUACAAACCAUUCUUCAUUGUUUACAAGGGGCAUUAAAAAGAAAAGGAGGUUGAACUGCAAUGUGAAGUGUAGUUAAAUAUGUAGACAUCUUGGAUUCUAGAAGAGUUUGUAAUGGAUUAAAGGGUUAAGCUAUGAAAUUGUUGCCCUCUGUGAUUUUUCCACACUAGAACAGACUGACAUGGUUUGAAGCAGUUGGGCUUUAACCUAUAGAUAGGAGGACAGAGAUGAUUGCCUAUGAAGCAAUUAUUAAAUAGCUGCAUUUUGGCAUGUUCUAGUUGAAAAGAUUUAGUUUUACCUAUAUCACCUCAUCAUCACUAAUUUAAUCAUCCUCAGAAAAUGCAAAAAUAAUGAUGUACAUUUGACAAGUCUUAUACAAAAUUAUGUUUCAUAGCUUUGUGGUCAGAAUUAAGCCAUGUUCUAAAAUACAAAUGAAUAGUUUACAGCCCACUAAUUCCUAACUGUAAGUGUUAAGUCUAUAUAAAAAUAAGAGACAAGCUUGUGAUCAGGAAUAGCUUCCAAUUAUGAAAAAUUUAAAUAAAAAUAAUAGAAUGUGCUUAAUUUAUUUAUCAUAUACAAAGUAGACAUAUGUGACCAAAAUGAUUCAUUAUUUUUACGAUUUUCAUGGGAAUAAGUUUGACAAUAUUAAGUGCUGGAGAUAGAAUAUCAGGUAAUCUUAAAUACUGUUCAUAGGAAUGUACAACCAUUUUGGAGAACAGUUGGAAUUAUCCAAAGAAAGCUGAAGAUUUUCCUAACUUAUAAUUUUAAAAAUUGGCACAUGCCCUCAAGUAACAGUUGCAUACCUAAGGAGACAUGUGUAAGUAUUUUUACAGCAGCAUUAUUUAUAAUAGCCCAAAUUGGAAAUAACCUAAAAUCAUAUGUUCUUACAAAGGAGUACUACACAACAGUGAAAGCAAAUAAACUAUAGCUAAAUGUUAUCUAUCUUGAAGGCAUUUAUAAGAAUAAUGAUGCUUUCACAAAGUAAAUUGCAGGAUGUUAUAUACAAUGUGAUACAAUUCAUGUAAGUUACCAAACAUGCAACACAAUACAUAACAUUGUCCAAGGAUAAGUAUAAAUGCAGUAAAGGUAUA